Molecule: ribosomal RNA, 694 nt
Filed under: uncultured bacterium
Lineage: Bacteria
Description: bacterial SSU rRNA
Rfam family: Bacterial small subunit ribosomal RNA
Source: RNAcentral
AACGCUAGCUACAGGCUUAACACAUGCAAGUCGAGGGGCAGCAUGGUCUUAGCUUGCUAAGGCCGAUGGCGACCGACGCACGGGUGAGUAACACGUAUCCAACCUGCCGUCUACUCUUGGACAGCCUUCUGAAAGGAAGAUUAAUACAAGAUGGCAUCAUGAGUCCGCAUGUUCACAUGAUUAAAGGUAUUCCGGUAGACGAUGGGGAUGCGUUCCAUUAGAUAGUAGGCGGGGUAACGGCCCACCUAGUCUUCGAUGGAUAGGGGUUCUGAGAGGAAGGUCCCCCACAUUGGAACUGAGACACGGUCCAAACUCCUACGGGAGGCAGCAGUGAGGAAUAUUGGUCAAUGGGCGCAGGCCUGAACCAGCCAAGUAGCGUGAAGGAUGACUGCCCUAUGGGUUGUAAACUUCUUUUAUAAAGGAAUAAAGUCGGGUAUGUAUACCCGUUUGCAUGUACUUUAUGAAUAAGGAUCGGCUAACUCCGUGCCAGCAGCCGCGGUAAUACGGAGGAUCCGAGCGUUAUCCGGAUUUAUUGGGUUUAAAGGGAGCGUAGAUGGAUGUUUAAGUCAGUUGUGAAAGUUUGCGGCUCAACCGUAAAAUUGCAGUUGAUACUGGAUAUCUUGAGUGCAGUUGAGGCAGGCGGAAUUCGUGGUGUAGCGGUGAAAUGCUUAGAUAUCACGAAGAACUCCGAUUG